CACGUAGGGGGCGAGCGUUGUCCGGAUUUAUUGGGCGUAAAGAGCUCGUAGGCGGCUCGGUAAGUGAGGUGUGAAAACUCCGGGCUCAACCUGGAGACGCCACCUCAUACUGCUGUGGCUAGAGUCCGGUAGGGGAGCAUGGAAUUCCUGGUGUAGCGGUGAAAUGCGCAGAUAUCAGGAGGAACACCAGUGGCGAAGGCGGUGCCUCUGGGCCGGAACUGACGCUGAGGAGCGAAAGCGUGGGAGCAACAGG
This 253-nucleotide ribosomal RNA is filed under the name uncultured bacterium. RNAcentral's name for it is "partial 16S ribosomal RNA". It matches the Rfam family "Bacterial small subunit ribosomal RNA", at positions 524 to 776 of the family's 1533-position model. The record is from RNAcentral.